Molecule: small RNA, 483 nt
Filed under: Malus domestica (apple)
Lineage: Eukaryota; Viridiplantae; Streptophyta; Magnoliopsida; Rosales; Rosaceae
Description: sRNA MD02G0168400
Source: RNAcentral
UCCGAUUCUCUCAGACCUCGCACUCACUCCCUGAAUAUCCUCUCAUAUCUCAUUUUAGGCCUCAAUAAGGCGCCAUCUCCGUCCAUCGACUCUCCCCACUUUCUUGUUCUCCUUCCUACCCCUACUGGACUCAACUCCUUGAGACUCAUGGUGAGUGAUCGACCUCGACUGUGUCGACAUCACAGCAACUAGCCACCAUCACCAUCGUGGCAUCGUUUCUUGACUCUCCUCCGGUCCUUCCAAUCGUGAGUUCUGGCCACCACCACACCAUCCUCGCCGUUGAGAACACCACCAUCAUCCUGCAAAUCCCUGGGUUGACCUUUUGAAGAGUAAGCUUAACUUUGAUGAAGCUUUCAAUUACAAGGAAGAGCAUGACUUGAACGCAACUCUGAAAUGGUACUUUCCGAAAGGCAGUGACAUAUACUUUGAGAAUGUUGAAGGGAAAUUUCUUGACGCAGUCCUCCUUAACAUGAGAAUCCACGG